RNAcentral lists this transfer RNA (65 nucleotides) under Flustra foliacea (greater hornwrack). Its description in RNAcentral is "tRNA-Asp". Lineage: Eukaryota; Metazoa; Bryozoa; Gymnolaemata; Cheilostomatida; Flustridae. The record is from RNAcentral.
GGGGUGGUAGUUAAAUUAAUAAUAAUUGUUUGUCAAACAUUAGUUACCGUUAUAGGUUUACCCUU